RNAcentral lists this transfer RNA (85 nucleotides) under Felis catus (domestic cat). It matches the Rfam family "tRNA". Rfam says of the family: Transfer RNA (tRNA) molecules are approximately 80 nucleotides in length. Their secondary structure includes four short double-helical elements and three loops (D, anti-codon, and T loops). The record is from Rfam by way of RNAcentral. Lineage: Eukaryota; Metazoa; Chordata; Mammalia; Carnivora; Felidae.
GCCUGGGUGGCUCAGUCGGUCAAGUGUCUGACUUCGGCUCAGGUCAUGAUCUCCCCGUUCGUGGGUUCGAGCCCCGCAUUGGGCU